Long non-coding RNA from Macrobrachium nipponense, 764 nucleotides. RefSeq lists it as uncharacterized. NCBI's taxonomy places the organism in Eukaryota, Metazoa, Arthropoda, Malacostraca, Decapoda, Palaemonidae. The transcript is spliced from 4 exons. The record is from RefSeq and is a predicted model, not a curated record.
GAUCGAGAGAAGGGAGACGGACAUUCAGAUGUUCUAUAAUGCCACAAAAGGGGGUGUAGACACAUUCGAUCAGAUGUGUUCUACAUCAAAUUGUGUUUGUAAGACACGAAGCUGGCCACUUUGUCUUUUCUACGGGAUAUUGAAUAUAAUUAUGGUGAAUUCUUAUAUUCUCUAUUCAUCCCUGCCAUCGUCAAAGGGUAUGACAAGGCGAAGGUUCCUCAAGAAGAUUGCCCUCGAAUUUUGUGCUCCCCUUGUAAUUCAUCGGUAUUACACACUGACCAACUUGUCCAGGCCCCUCUGUGUGCUGAUGGAGUAUACAUUCAAGCUGGCUGAGCUGGAACAUAGACCUCCUCCUGCCGCUGGCCACGUCAAGCUGCCCAAGCAUGUUCGCUGCCAAAGCUGCCCAUCUAGAGAAGACCACAAGACAAACACAGCACGUUUGUGGUGCAACAGGCCCAUUUGCCUGCAGCAUCAAAUUGUCUUGUGUUCAAAGUGUCUAUUAUGUAGGUAGCAAAUUUGGCUGUUGCACUUGCCGUGCUCGGGGGCCAUUUUGUUAGCAUAUCCGAAAGGUGAUAGAUGUGGCCGUCGGAGUAGGUGUUGACUGCGGCCAUUUUGUUGGCAUAUCCGAAAGAUUUUGACCUCUAUGGGUCCGACACCUUCUCUGCCAGUCACAUAUUGUAAAUAGUAGGUUUAGGAAGGAUCCCUCAAUUUUUUUUGUGAACUAUAUAGAUAAUUUUGUAUUUUUGGUAAAUAUUUCCUUAAAU